Molecule: small RNA, 106 nt
Filed under: Marmota monax (woodchuck)
Lineage: Eukaryota; Metazoa; Chordata; Mammalia; Rodentia; Sciuridae
Source: RNAcentral
GCCAGGUGCAGUGGUGCACACCUGUAAUCUCAGCUAUUUGGGAGGCUGAGGCAGGAGGAUUGUAAGCUCAAGGCUAGCCUGGGAACUUAGUGGGACCCUGUCUCAA